UUGUAGCUAUUCCAUCUAGAAAAUGCUUGGUCUGAUUGAUUUUGGAAGCUAAGCAGAAUCGUGCCUGGUUAGUCCUUUGAUGGGAGACUGCUGGGAAUGCCAGUUGCCCUACACA
Molecule: ribosomal RNA, 115 nt
Filed under: Periophthalmus magnuspinnatus
Lineage: Eukaryota; Metazoa; Chordata; Actinopteri; Gobiiformes; Gobiidae
Source: RNAcentral